GUUUUUAUAGUUGAUUUACAACGGUGGUUUUUCGGGCCGCAGGUCUCGUAAAGAGUAAAAAUA
Molecule: transfer RNA, 63 nt
Filed under: Anilius scytale (false coral snake)
Lineage: Eukaryota; Metazoa; Chordata; Lepidosauria; Squamata; Aniliidae
Description: tRNA-Glu
Source: RNAcentral